RNAcentral lists this ribosomal RNA (372 nucleotides) under uncultured bacterium. RNAcentral's name for it is "bacterial SSU rRNA". It matches the Rfam family "Bacterial small subunit ribosomal RNA", at positions 29 to 389 of the family's 1533-position model. The record is from RNAcentral.
AUUGAACGCUGGCGGCAUGCUUUACACAUGCAAGUCGAGCGGCAGCGCGGGACUCAGGCAACUGAGCCCUGGCGGCGAGCGGCGAACGGGUGAGGAAUACAUCGGAACGUGUCCCGUAGUGGGGGAUAGCUCGGCGAAAGCCGGAUUAAUACCGCAUAUGCUCUACGGAGGAAAGCCGGGGAUCUGUUAAAGGACCUGGCGCUAUGGGAGCGGCCGAUGUCCGAUUAGCUAGUUGGUGAGGUAAAGGCUCACCAAGGCGACGAUCGGUAGCUGGUCUGAGAGGAUGAUCAGCCACACUGGGACUGAGACACGGCCCAGACUCCUACGGGAGGCAGCAGUGGGGAAUUUUGGACAAUGGGGCAACCCUGAUCC